Molecule: long non-coding RNA, 810 nt
Organism: Sinocyclocheilus grahami
Lineage: Eukaryota; Metazoa; Chordata; Actinopteri; Cypriniformes; Cyprinidae
Exons: 2
Source: RefSeq, a predicted model, not a curated record
UAACCGGGGCAGGAAUAGUCCAAUAUUUAAUUCCCCUGGUGAUUCCCCUUUAAGUUUUCGCUAUGAUGCAGUUAUGCGUGCUGUCUCCUUUAAGAGUUUGAGAAUGAGCACAAGAGAGAAAGUGUGCGUCAGAGGGGAACAGAGAUAGCGCUGAUAGAAGCAGCAGUUACAAGUGAGGAGAAAACAGUUGUUAAAAAUUGUUAAACGGAUAUAAUCCAGGCUGGUUAUCAGCUCGUGGAGCUGUGGUGGUUUCAGUUGUGUGACUGCACAGAGUGGAUGGCUUAAUUCAGUGUUUAUAUUAGUGUUUUGUUGCUGUACAUGGGAGAUCUCCGGUGGGGGAGGGGAUUCAGGCCUACUUCAACGGAGAUUGAGCAGGGGAGAACAAUGAUGUGAGAUCGCACAUGUGCCAGUUUCCCCGUGAUUGAUAAUCCAGAGUCUCAUAUAAGAGUGAGUUUUUCAUUCAUUUCUCCCAAAGUGUGUUUACCUAUAUGGCAUGAAAAGUAUUGUACCCUGUAUAACGUGUAUACUGUUACCUUUAGUCUAUUUACUGAUUAAUGUUUAAAAGAGGUUAAAAUGUGAACUGUGUAUACUGUGGGUGGUGCAUUUAGGUGGCAAAAUGUGCAGAUUGCUCAUGUAUGCUCAUGCUGUUGUGUUUUUUUGUUUUUGUCUGUUUUAUCAGGCACAGAUAGGCCACUGCCGUUGUUUUGCACACCUUUAUUGGUUCUUUAACAUUGGUUGCAUUAUUUCAAGUCAAAUGGGGCUUGUGAUCUUCUGUUUUGAUUAGAGGUUAUUACUGUAAAGAACUUAUUU